RNAcentral lists this ribosomal RNA (450 nucleotides) under uncultured bacterium. RNAcentral describes it as "partial 16S ribosomal RNA". It matches the Rfam family "Bacterial small subunit ribosomal RNA", at positions 354 to 796 of the family's 1533-position model. The record is from RNAcentral.
GUAGGGAAUCUUCCACAAUGGACGAAAGUCUGAUGGAGCAACGCCGCGUGAGUGAAGAAGGUCUUCGGAUCGUAAAACUCUGUUGUUAGAGAAGAACGUGCAUGAUAGUAACUGAUCAUGUAAUGACGGUAUCUAACCAGAAAGCCACGGCUAACUACGUGCCAGCAGCCGCGGUAAUACGUAGGUGGCAAGCGUUGUCCGGAUUUAUUGGGCGUAAAGGGAACGCAGGCGGUUUUUUAAGUCUGAUGUGAAAGCCUUCGGCUUAACCGAAGAAUAGCAUUGGAAACUGGAAGACUUGAGUGCAGAAGAGGAGAGUGGAAUUCCAUGUGUAGCGGUGAAAUGCGUAGAUAUAUGGAGGAACACCAGUGGCGAAGGCGGCCACCUGGACCGGUAUUGACGCUGAGGUGCGAAAGCGUGGGGAGCAAACAGGAUUAGAAACCCGGGUAGUCC